CAGCAGCCGCGGGAAUACGUAGGGUGCAAGCGUUAAUCGGAAUUACUGGGCGUAAAGCGUGCGCAGGCGGUUAUGUAAGACAGUUGUGAAAUCCCCGGGCUCAACCUGGGAACUGCAUCUGUGACUGCAUAGCUAGAGUACGGUAGAGGGGGAUGGAAUUCCGCGUGCAGCAGUGAAAUGCGUAGAUAUGCGGAGGAACACCGAUGGCGAAGGCAAUCCCCUGGACCUGUACUGACGCUCAUGCACGAAAGCGUGGGGAGCAAACAGGAUUAGAUACCCCCGUAGUCCCUGUCUCUUAUAC
Molecule: ribosomal RNA, 301 nt
Filed under: uncultured bacterium
Lineage: Bacteria
Description: partial 16S ribosomal RNA
Rfam family: Bacterial small subunit ribosomal RNA
Source: RNAcentral